UACAGAGGUCUCAAGCGUUGUUCGGAUUUAUUGGGCGUAAAGGGCGCGUAGGCGGCGGGGUAAGUCGGGUGUGAAAUCUCAGGGCUCAACCCUGAAACUGCACUUGAUACUGCUCUGCUUGAGGACUGGAGAGGAGACUGGAAUUCACGGUGUAGCAGUGAAAUGCGUAGAUAUCGUGAGGAAGACCAGUGGCGAAGGCGGGUCUCUGGACGACAACUGACGCUGAGACGCGAAAGCGUGGGGAGCAAACAGG
RNAcentral lists this ribosomal RNA (253 nucleotides) under uncultured bacterium. RNAcentral describes it as "partial 16S ribosomal RNA". It matches the Rfam family "Bacterial small subunit ribosomal RNA", at positions 524 to 776 of the family's 1533-position model. The record is from RNAcentral.